CCUACGGGUGGCUGCAGUGGGGAAUAUUGGGCAAUGGGCGCAAGCCUGACCCAGCAACGCCGCGUGAAGGAAGAAGGCUUUCGGGUUGUAAACUUCUUUUCUCAGGGACGAAGCAAGUGACGGUACCUGAGGAACAAGCCACGGCUAACUACGUGCCAGCAGCCGCGGUAAUACGUAGGUGGCAAGCGUUAUCCGGAUUUAUUGGGUGUAAAGGGCGUGUAGGCGGGGGCGCAAGUCAGAUGUGAAAACUAAGGGCUCAACCCUUAGCCUGCAUUUGAAACUGUGUUUCUUGAGUGCUGGAGAGGCAGACGGAAUUCCGGGUGUAGCGGUGAAAUGCGUAGAUAUAAGGAGGAACACCAGUGGCGAAGGCGGAUUGCUGGACAGCAACUGACGCUGAGGCGCGAAAGCGUGGGGAGCAAACAGGAUUAGAUACCCUUGUAGUC
RNAcentral lists this ribosomal RNA (443 nucleotides) under uncultured bacterium. Its description in RNAcentral is "partial 16S ribosomal RNA". It matches the Rfam family "Bacterial small subunit ribosomal RNA", at positions 338 to 795 of the family's 1533-position model. The record is from RNAcentral.